UUAAAGUAAAUGUUUGGGGCUUCGUGUAAAUCUUUCAUCCGAUGAAAACGUUUGUGAAUUGCUGGCUUCUGACUCAUGAGUCACGCUCUCUGGUUAAGUUUGUGUCUUCAUGUUUCUGUGUGUUUGGCUUCGGUCCUGCUGGAGAGCGUGAAGCAGACCCACCCACUCACACACACACACACACACACACACACACACACACACGGCCCUCCUCCUCCAGAUACAGGACACUUUUGUUCUGUGUUUUCAUCCGGAGUCCAGCGAGUCGAGAGCGAGAGACAGUGUGACAGAAGAGACGCUUCCACAGACGCUUCAGAGCUCAAGUCAAAGGUGAGCGUGAGCUUCUGCUCUUCAUUCUGUUGGUUUCUCAUCAGUGUUUGUGACAGACAUCACGUCUCUCCCCUGCAGGUCUGUCAUGGGCCGCUGGUCGACACGUCUGGCUCUUCUGAUGCUCCUCAUUGGUCAGAUUUCCGCAGAGACGAGCAGCAGCUCAAGCGCCUGUCAGGAUCAGAACGCUCUUCAUGACCGGAUGGAUGCUGUAGAGAAGCGGGUGGAGAACACUCUUCAGAAGCUGGAGGCUGAGCUGGCUCUUCUGCUGGACGCUGUUGAGGCCCCUGAGUGGAGCCCCCUGCUGGACAAACCCCUCAUCGACAUACUGGACGAGCCGCCGGCAACAGACUCAUGAGAACACGAUGAUCAUCAGAGGGUUAAAUAUGAUCCAGACAUUUCUUCACACAACAAUAACGGCACAGAGCAGAUCAUUUAGUUCUGAUCCUAUAAUGAGUCAAAACAGGGUUUAUUUUUAAGCUUUUCACAUUAAAAUUAAAUGAAUCAUUUAUACCAUUUUACUGAGUGUCAGUGGUUUCUUCUAGCGUUUCUUUAGAACUGAUGAUUUAAGGAACCACUGAUGAUGUUCCCAUAAUCAAUCAUUGUAUGCAUGCGAAUAUACAAAAAUAACACACGUUUACAGUGUACAUGAAUGUUUCUGGGUUGUCUUUGUGUUGCCUGUUCAGACUCCCAACAAGCAUUGCUCUUAUGUGCGGUUGCUUCUGUUGUUAGUUUUAGUAACUUGUUUUGUUGUGUUCAGAGUUUGUCAUUUUGUUUUAAUGCACUGCAUCUCACUAAUCUCUCUAUGCUAGAAGUAGUCAUAAAAUCAUUUUUCACAUUAUGAUCUGACUGAUUCGUGUUGUCAUGAAUAUGCGCUGACUUGGAAUGUUAAUAAAAAUAAAAAAAGAAAUGAAUCA
RNAcentral lists this long non-coding RNA (1244 nucleotides) under Sinocyclocheilus grahami. Its description in RNAcentral is "lncRNA (ENSSGRG00000016386.1)". The record is from RNAcentral. Lineage: Eukaryota; Metazoa; Chordata; Actinopteri; Cypriniformes; Cyprinidae.